RNAcentral lists this ribosomal RNA (571 nucleotides) under uncultured Glomeromycotina. RNAcentral's name for it is "SSU rRNA". It matches the Rfam family "Eukaryotic small subunit ribosomal RNA", at positions 548 to 1114 of the family's 1831-position model. Lineage: Eukaryota; Fungi; Glomeromycota. The record is from RNAcentral.
UUGGAGGGCAAGUCUGGUGCCAGCAGCCGCGGUAAUUCCAGCUCCAAUAGCGUAUAUUAAAGUUGUUGCAGUUAAAAAGCUCGUAGUUGAAUUUCGGGAUUGACACAUCGGUCGUGCCUUAAGGGGUAUGAACUGGUGUAGUCAAUUUCUCACCUUCUGGAGAACCACGAUGCCCUUAGUUGGGUGUCGCGGGGAACCAGGACCUUUACUUUGAAAAAAUUAGAGUGUUUAAAGCAGGCAUUAUGCUUGAAUACAUUAGCAUGGAAUAAUAAAAUAGGACGGCAUGAUUCUAUUUUGUUGGUUUCUAGGAUCACCGUAAUGAUUAAUAGGGAUAGUUGGGGGCAUUAGUAUUCAAUUGUCAGAGGUGAAAUUCUUGGAUUUAUUGAAGACUAACUACUGCGAAAGCAUUUGCCAAGGAUGUUUUCAUUAAUCAAGAACGAAAGUUAGGGGAUCGAAGACGAUCAGAUACCGUCGUAGUCUUAACCAUAAACUAUGCCGACUAGGAAUCAGACGAUGUUAAUUUUUUAAUGACUCGUUUGGCACCUUACAGGAAACCAAAGUGUUUGGGUUC